GUGGAAACAGGGUGCUAAUACCGUAUAACAAUGACAACCGCAUGGUUGUUAUUUAAAAGAUGGUUCUGCUAUCACUAAGAGAUGGAUCCGCGGUGCAUUAGUUAGUUGGUGGGGUAAAGGCUUACCAAGACGAUGAUGCAUAGCCGAGUUGAGAGACUGAUCGCCCACAUUGGGAGUGAGACACGGCCCAAACUCCUACGGGAGGCUGCAGUAGGGAAUCUUCCACAAUGGGCGCAAGCCUGAUGGAGCAACGCCGCGUGUGUGAAGAAGGCUUUCGGGUCGUAAAGCACUGUUGUAUGGGAAGAAAUGCUAAAAUAGGGAAUGUUUUUAGUUUGACGGUACCAUACCAGAAAGGGACGGCUAAC
RNAcentral lists this ribosomal RNA (365 nucleotides) under uncultured bacterium. Its description in RNAcentral is "bacterial SSU rRNA". It matches the Rfam family "Bacterial small subunit ribosomal RNA", at positions 150 to 501 of the family's 1533-position model. The record is from RNAcentral.